GCUACUAUCUAGAUCUACUCUAGUUUAGAGAAGAGAGGAGAGCUCUCAUCUCUAAACCCUAGCUUUUGAUCUGUCUAUGAAUAAUGAAUAAUGAUCAAGGGGUGCCUCCUCCAGGGGCCAGGGGGUCUGGUUAUAUAGUCCCCUCAAGUGAACCUGGGCCGUCGGAUCAAACCGACAUUGAUCGUGAGAUUUUCCUUGAAGUAUUAGGUCGGUGGAGCAUGAUCCGCGAAGUUGACGCUGAUUGGUUACUGUAGCUAGGCGGGCACCCAAGGGACUUGGGCGGGCGCCCUGCCCCCGGGCCCGAUCGGCCUCCCGUUCGUUCCCGUGGCUUCUGGAGUCUUCUAGAUGGUAGAAAAUUGCGCGGCACGUUAAUAUCUCUAUGUAAACCCGACGUGUGGGCCUUUCUUUCAUAUUUCCUGAUAACCCCCUGCAGAAAUAGACAAACACCAAAACUCAUGGAAUUCUGUCAGAUAAAACCCUAAGUCUAGAUGUUGAUUUCAUUUGGAUCCUUUUCUUUGUUUAUUUGUUAAUUAAAUUUGAUACUUAAGGACCGUCAACAAACUCCCCCAAGCUUACCUCUUGCUCGUCCCUGAGCAAGGAUAGACUCAGCAACGGAUCAAAAGUUGUUGCAAUAUCUUAAAUAUUUGAUGGUACACAUGCUUUUAAAUAAGAUCUCAUCUCUGAGUUAGAGUAAACUGUCAAGAACUAAAACUUACUUACUUUACCUUUCACCAUGGGACUUGUAACCGUCAUUUCUGUCUUGAGUAGUUAAAAGAUAGAACAGUCUAGCCAAGUGCCAUGUCUCUUAUUCUUGAUCAGCUAUAGCUCUGGAGUUUUUUGCAGAUUUUCAAAUAAAACUCAGAGAUUCCUUGUAUGACUCUCUAAAUCUCUCUUUUGUGGUAUUUCUGGAUCCUUACCAAGGCAAUGAUGGUAUAUGCCUUCUCUCAAGAUAUGUGGUAUUUGUGGUAUAAGGCAUAGUGACAUUGCCUUCUCUCUCACCCUACUCUAAUAAGGCUUUAAUAUCUGGAGCUCAUAGGUGGGAGACAGCUAAUACAUACUUACAAGACAUUUAUUGCAUAGUCAAACCAUGGAUCCAGAGAAACAAGUCAAUAAGUCAAAUCAAGAUGUGCAUGUGUGGCGAAUGAAUCGUGUAUGGUGAUGAUGGUGAUAACAAUGGUGGAAGUCAAAUUCUACUUUUGCUCUUUUGGUGGAAGUCAAAUUCUACUUCCUUGCUUUUUGAAACUUUAUGAGGAGAAUGAGAUGCUCUUCUUUUUUUCUUUCCUCUCAGGUGGGUAUCUUGUACCCCUAAUUCUACUAUCGGACACUUGUCCAUUUUUACCUCUCGUCUCACUUUUUCUUUUUUUUUCGAGGUUCCGAGCACUUGCCCCUUUUUAUUUCCUCGUUUAUUAUUUUUUUUCUUCUCUUUUCUUUUUUUCAGAGCACUCAUCUCUUGAGAUAAUAUAGCAAGUGGUAGUAGCAAGAUAACUUGAGUAUUUAUUUCACAAUGGAAAACAGAAAUAUUUUUGGCUAUUCUCUCCCGGAUUAGGAGUAGAAUAUUUUUGGGUGGUUCUGGAGAUGGACAUGGAUGGAUAUAUGUGGAUGGUACUUCCAGAGUAGAAGUAGCAUAUAUGAGUGAACGUGCAAGUGAAACCUUGAUUUAACCACAUGACAAGCUCCUAAGGUUCUACACAGCUUGACCACACUCAAUGCUCAUAAGCAGUAAAUAAUAAAUGUGUGGCUCAAAGUCUAGCAAGCAUGUAUAUAUGGCUGUGGUAGGAAUUUAAACUCUCAUCAUACAGGAACUCAUCAUGCAAUAUUUUAAAGAUUUUUCAAAGAUAAAAUUCUCCAGAAUUCUAGCAUCUCUAGGAACAGAUAAACAGCAGCUCAACCUUCCCAUAUCAUAUCCGUUAACAACUUAGAUUUCACAUCAAGUUUUCAUCCCACAAGUUUAGAUCUAGAGCAAGCUUUAAAUUAUAACAGUUAUGUCUAAACUUGAGAGAGAACUUCAAAUGUGCAAAUUAGGCAGAGCAACUAUUCAUCAUAUCCAUGCUAGAGUUUUAUUAUUAAGAUUCAGAUUAGCAUAGCCACUUUAUUUAUUUAUUAAACACAUUAAGCAAAAGAUAUAUAUAUAAGCACAAAAUCUUUAUUUGGUUUUUCAUAGUUUAUGUAUUUUAAUAUUCUAAUAUAAUAUAAGUAUAAAGAUAGGUAGAAAUACUUAGCGAGAUAAAUGGGGGUGCUCUCCCCCAAGCUGAAUUUUGACGUAAUUUCUCUUGAUGUAGCUAGCAGGUGGCAGAGGUGUAUUUGGAAGUCAGCAGCAUUCUGACAGCGAUUAGAAUGUCCUCCGUCUGCUAGUCUUCUUGAUUCUUAAAUUCUAUGGAGCUCAAAUAGACAACAAAGCUUGUGGAACUAAUUAAGUGUUAGCAUAAAUAUCUAGCCUUCAUCAUGUUGAGCUUCCUCAAUAAAUAUUACUCCCUGUUUUUUUAUUUUUAUUUUAUAAAGCAGAAAAGAAAUAUUUAUUUUAUUUUUAUGCCACCACAGUGAAGGUACUUAUGGGUUUUAUGCCACUCGUAUACUCAUAUGGGGCUUAGUAUUUUUUUAACAUUUUUAUUUUCUUUUCAAGAUAGCAUGAUUAACUAAUAAUCUAUUUAAGGAAAGUAAAUAAUUCAAGGGAAAAGGGAAUGUAGAAAGGAUAAAUAUGGAUAACUAUCGAUCUUACCUUUCGGCGAGGGUUCAAUGUUUUAAGUCUUCUUAACAAGACUUCUCACCGUGUUCAUUCUUCAGGUGCGUCAUUUGAUUCAGGUGCGGACCUUGACGUCUGCACCUCUUCGUUUGCCCAGCAGUUCAAAGUGCAGCGUUGGCAGUAACCUGCUCAGUGUGUUUGUGCUCGUAGAUCCAGGUCCUUCACUUGGUAGAGUCUGAGAGUUAUAAAACUCCUCCGUGUUUUGCUCAAAGUGUACCUGCUCAUAGAGACAAGGCAGAGAUCAAGUGCAUGGGUCCUGUUGGUGGAAAACACCAACAGAACCUAAAGUGUAUUUGUUCUUCUCUAACCCUAAGCAUAGUGAGCAAGACAAAGUUGAUGGAUGAAAAGUUCAUGAGUGUAGCACUUAUAACAUUUGUCAGAUCAGAUCGCUCAACCUUAUGGAAAGAUAAUCUAUCUAUGUAUAUGUCUUUUUCUUUAUAUCUCUCAAAGAUUGAAUGUGUAACAUUUUAGCUCAUAUGAUUAGGAGUGUGGGAUCAUGGAGGUAGUACUAAGAACAAGGAUUAAAGGACUAAACAUGUUGAAUCAGUUGGGUUGGUUAAUCUAGAGUUGUAAAUCAUACAUGUUUGUCUCUUUUAUUUAUAUGAAUGCUAGAACCAAGGAGAAGCUUAUAAAAGUGAUAGUCAAGUACCUUAAGAUAUUACCUUGCUUGAAGAGUGAUGGUACAAUAUCACCUUGUGGAAGCUUUCCUUUCUUAGCGGUUGUGCAUCGUGUUUGUGGCACCCUCCAUGGAUCAUAUCUCUAUGAUGAAUGAGCUAUGUCCUUCUUGUGCAAAUUGUUAAACUUCAUGUGUCACUCUCUUCGUCUCUGAUGUGAGUUUAUCUCAGGACUUCCCAAAUCGAUAUUGAAAGUUUUUCUGCAGGGGUUAGUCCGACAAAAAUAUACCAAUGUCUACACAAGCAGUUUUUAGUUCAAUAACCGAACUAGACUCCAUGUCUAAUCAGAUUAAGGAAGGCUGUUUAACCUAAGCACCAUGCUUAAUUUAAAAGCCAAUAGAAUUAUGUGCAGUACUUCCAAACUAACACUUACUAGUAAAUAGACAAAGGUAACAUGACAGCAUUUAUAGAGAUCUACUCAAGUGGAGAUGAAGUAGUGUGAUUAGUAUUUAACAAUUUGAGCAUGUCUUAAAUGUAGAGACAACCAACAUAGCAACAUGGCAAAGGAUGUUUUUAUGUAAAGUACUCCCCCAAGCUUGAAUUCUACAGAAUUCAAGUUUGGAUGAAUUUAAUUUAGUGUUGCAUGAUGAUUGGUUGGACAUACCUUGUACUUGCUUGUCAUUCAUCUGAUCUUCUUGUUCCAAUCCUGGAAAGGUUAGUGACAAGAAUACCCAAAGGAAUAUUUUCACAAUUAUCUUUAUAUGCUCAAUACACAAGGUAAUGUUGUAAAUGAUUAAAAGCUCAUGUUAUGAUCUGAUCAGUGCUUAUUUUAGGACACUAAGCUUGUUCUUGGGAAACCAUCAAUUUAUGUCAGCGAAGUGGUUUCCCUUCCAACGCUGACCUAUAUCAAGAUCAACUCAACGAGAUCUGCAAUAUUUAUUGUAGACAUAUGCAUCGACAACCGCCCUUUUAAAGUUUUUAUAAAUAGAAAGGAAGAGGGGGUUGGAGAUCUCAAAUGUGGGGAUGUUGGAGAGACCAAUAGAUUGGGAAGAUGUUGCAUAUGAGCAUGGAGUAAAUGAAGUGGCUAUGAAAUAAAUUCCAUGCUCAUUAAUGUUAUCUUCGUCUCCAAUCUGAAUGUUUGGAGUUUCUCCUGAAUUGGUCUCACCUAUGUCCUCUUCUGUAGUUAGAUGAAUCUCAUUUUCAAAGGGAGUCAAGAACUCACCAUUUGAAAUUAAGCCAAAGUCAGAAUCCAUUAAGGCUUCUUCCUUAUCCAUCCAUUCUACACAUUCUAGCCAUUUAGAACUUGUGAUCAAGACAGGGGAGGUGUUAGGAUUUUCUACAUGGCUUAGCUCUCCUUCUAUGACAUUACUUGACAUGUCAUCCUCAUGGUCUUUAUGACUCCUAUGGUUUGAUAGUCUUGAUGGAUUUUUAGGAUCAUCAUGAGACAUAAAAGGAGAGGGAUAAGAGGGGUCUCUAAGGUAAAGGAUGGAUUUAGAAUUUGUGAACAUGGAAGGGGAGCAGAUAGAAUUUUCUAUAUAGUUUAGCUCUCCUUCACUUGAUAUGUCAUCCUCAACUUCUUCAUAACAGGAACCAGGACAUUCUCUAAGAGAACCAUUAUUGCAGGGAUUUGAAUUAUCCCUACUUGAAGGUCUCUUAUGGAACCAGAAGUCUAAACCAUCAGCAUCUGAAAGAUUUAAGGUCGGAAUUCCUUCCUCCCUUGGAGAAUUUUGGGGUAUUGAUGGUUUAGGAUCGAUAGCUAAAGUUUGGAAUUGAAGUGGUUGUGAUCUGGCUAUCGAAACUUCUUCUUCUUGUCUAGGAACUGGUUCUGUCGCUUUCUCAGGGAUAUAAAAGCUAGGAGACUUCCCACUUAAUAAAUCAAUCAAAUUCCAAGCUUCACUAGCAGGUAGGUGAUAGAAGGAUCCUCUAGAGGCUGUAUUCAAGGUUUGCUUAUUUUCCCUACUAAGGCCCUCAAAAAAGUGAAUUAGAAGAACUUCUUCUGGAAUAGAAAGCUUUGAGCCAGUGAGAGUAAGGUUAAUAAAGCGGUCCCAUGAUUUCCUAAGAGAUUCUUCUUCCAGUUUUCUAAAAAAAUAAUCUCACGCCGAAGUUCCGCCACUUUGGAGAUUGGAAAAUAUUUAGAAAGAAAACUACUAUAUAACUCCUUCCAAUCUCUAUGAACACUCCCUACUUUGAGUUUGUACCAAUGUCUAGCUUUUCCCGUUAAAGAGAACGGAAAGAGCUUCCAUUUGAGGGUCUCAUCGGACAUUCCUUCUAUGCGAAGGAGGUCACAGACUCGAUAAAACUCUCUUAGGUGUGUGUAUGGGUUUUCCUCACCUUCUCCUGAGAAAGGUUGUUUUUGAACAAAUUCUAUGUAUUCGGGGUUUAUCUCAAAACUAGAUGCUAUGAUAGGCUUUGAAGAUUUUGGUGGUUCGAGAUGUGUGCCCGUAGGUCUAUGAAAUUCAUAGAUAGACAUGUUUGAAUUCAUGAUAGACCAGAGAUCAAGGAUUAGAUAUGAAGAAAGAUUAGCAGAGAUGAGGCAAAGGAUAAAAGGAAAAUAUAUUUUUUUAUUAUUUUUUAGAAAAUGAUUAAGCUAGUUCGUAGUCAACUCAACAACCGUUUCCCCGGCAACGGCACCAAAAAUGCUUGUUGACACUUGCUAACACCACUUGAAUACUAGGUUGUCAUCCCCAACAUGGCACUAGAGUGUACUAUGGUAUUUAUACGCACACAGAUAAUCCGCAAGCGCACGGAUACCGUUGAAGCUUUUACCCGGUUAAAGGUUUUAUCAUAUCCACAGGGAAACGGGAGAACCAACUACGCUCUAACUUAACCAGGAUAGAUAGAUAAGUGUAAACAGGAAAGAUGGUAGAAUCGAAUAAGAACAAUAUUAAAGGUAAGAUAACAGUGAGUGAUAAUAUGGGAAUAGAGAGUAGAGCAAUUCUAGUAUAUGGGCGAUGGUAGCAGAAUAGAGAGUAUAACUAUGGUUUCUCUACUUCAAAGGGGUAUGUCUAUGUCUAGGACGAACCACGUGAUAACAGUACACCACAAAGGAUGCUUAUCCUUAGGCCGAUAAACCCUACCCGUCCUGCUAACGAGAGGUGGACUACAGAGGACCAACGUAACUGUCACCUACGCGGCCUACCACACGAUCCAGCUAGACAGGGGAUAUCCACAAGUAAUCUAGGUCUAAGCACCACGCUUACACCUAUACUACAACUCUCACCUAUAGCGUCCUAUAGAUUAAAGUAUUCAAAAGAGUUGUGAACCAGAACAUACAUAAUUAGUAAUUGCAUAAUGAAUUAGAAGUAGAUUACCAUAGUCAUCCCAUGAGCAAGCUUGAUUAGAGCUUGAUCAUGACGAAGUACAACCGGAGGAAGAACCGACAGGCCGGCCUCUCCUCUAAUCCUCCUUCGCUCUCCAUCUUGCUACUAUCUAGAUCUACUCUAGUUUAGAGAAGAGAGGAGAGCUCUCAUCUCUAAACCCUAGCUUUUGCUCUGUCUAUGAAUAAUGAAUAAUGAUCAAGGGGUGCCUCCUCCAGGGGCCAGGGGGUCUGGUUAUAUAGUCCCCUCAAGUGAACCUGGGCCGUCGGAUCAAACCGACAUUGAUCGUGAGAUUUUCCUUGAAGUAUUAGGUCGGUGGAGCAUGAUCCGCGAAGUUGAAGCUGAUUGGUUACUGUAGCUGGGCGGGCACCCAAGGGACUUGGGCGGGCGCCCUGCCCCCGGGCCCGAUCGGCCUCCCGUUCGUUCCCGUGGCUUCUGGAGUCUUCUAGAUGGUAGAAAAUUGCGCGGCACGUUAAUAUCUCUAUGUAAACCCGACGUGUGGGCCUUUCUUUCAUAUUUCCUGAUAACCCCCUGCAGAAAUAGACAAACACCAAAACUCAUGGAAUUCUGUCAGAUAAAACCCUAAGUCUAGAUGUUGAUUUCAUUUGGAUCCUUUUCUUUGUUUAUUUGUUAAUUAAAUUUGAUACUUAAGGACCGUCAACAUGUCUAGCUUCACAACACUUUUUGUAUAAAAGUCUUAGGUUACAGGUACGUAACUUUUCAGGUAUUUAGCUCAAGUUAAUAAUCAUUACCUGUCAUCUAUAUUAGCACCUGUACUAGAGCAAUCACUUGAUUAAGAUACAACAGUAGUACUCAUAUUCGAUGUGGCAUUUCCAACAUCAUCAUCAUACCAUAACCAUCCAAGUGUUCCAUAAACAUUACUACGAUGAUGAAGCUCAAGUCAAGUGCUCACUGUCUAGGAGCGAUGGCGAUUCAAAUCAAUUUCUAACCAGCUGGUGAUUUUAUUCCCCACAAAACCACAUCGCUGAUCAAGUGAGCUACAGGUCACCAUAUUACACUAUCUAGGACUAAUUCGUGGGUUCGACAGGCACCGCCCGUACCCGAGGACCGUUCCGACGACCGAGGUAUCCAAGGUAUACCAAGGUUGCGCGCCGCGCCCUCGUUGUUCUCCUCAACCAUCACCAAUACAGCGCGUACAUCGGGCCGAUUCUCGGCUCGGAUAGUGUUCAGGCUUCACGGUCUGAACGACUUAUCAUUCCAGCUAAGUGUGGGGCAUGCGUUCAACAUGACAAGAGGGCCAUCAACGAUCGGUCCUUAAUCGACACAGGUGGGGAUAGGUAGGCACCCAAGACCUCCAUGCCUUGUUGCUUCUCCAUCAUCAUCCCGCCCGGUCUCCAAUUAUCUGUCCUCAUCACUUGGUUAUUUCCAUGAUAGCAUAUAUAGCCAACUUAUCUGUAUGUAAGAAUUGGAUAACCACUACUGAAGAAGGAUGAUAGUGGGGCUUAUAGGUCACCAACAGUUGCAAGUGUUCAACCACUAAAGAAAUAGUGUACCACCACGUAGGUUAAGCAUAAUCUUUCUUCAUGAUGCAGUUGCAUGAGAGUUAGGUUGACUUGUGUCAUAGCAAAACCAAUCCAGUGGAACUACUUUUGCUUUUGAGGUUUCCUUUUUAAGAUCAGUCGGUAGCUCUGAUAUUGGAAAUCUAUUGACUGACACCUUUCAAAACGUUUAUGGCUCGCACUAGCAUAAAUGGGUAUAAAGAAUCUUAUUUCAGCAUAUAAGCAUUAUCUAUACAGCAAAACACUGCACAUACUGUAAUCCAUGGCACCAAAACAAACACCACUUUCUAUACGAAGGAUGAUCGAUAUCAAAAGGGAGAUUGCAGAUUUCUACCCCUUUUUGGGUUUUGGUUCAUAUUUCACCAAUUAUCACUCACAUCCCCAUGGAAUUUGGUAGAAGUAUAGAUCCAUGAGUCUUCUAACCUCUAACAAAAAUUUAGCUCAAAUAGGCACCAUUUGUGUAAGCAGAACAUAUACAUACUAAACUUAUUCUGUGCUGAAACGGCACUGUUUCGGACUGACAAGACACCUCACAACUCCAAAGUUUAAUUCACUAUUUGAUGAAACAUAUCCUUCGUGGCUGUGAAUCCAUCAUUAUCUUGCUUAAGAUUAGCCUUGUUACUAGCAACCAUCAAUUGCCUUGCAGCACUAAAACUUCCAAAGCUCCACUCUUAACCACAACCAUUGCGGUUGACGCUUAACAAUUGGUCACCUUCAAAACCAGGAGAUAAGGAUUCAUGCUAAAGAUGGUUGACUUUAGCUGUAUGACCAUGAUGCACAUAAAGAUCGAGACUUAGGAAAACUAGAUCAUGAGCACAAUGGUGAUGAUCGAUGCUUGUCCAACAGAUAACUUGUCCAACAUUAUGUGCCAUGUGUCCUUUUGGUUUGGCGUGGAUGACCCAUGUUGCUCAUUAAACGAUCAUUGCUAUUGUAGGGAUAGUCAAAUAGUGUCACUUGUAUACCACCUCUUGCAGUCUGUUAAUGUUUAUGUCAGUGACCCGUUCUUUAAAGGUAAUCCUCUUUGUAACAUCAUAGGAAGUUCUCCCACUUGUGCGUGAAGUAAGAAUCUUUUGAUAUGAUCUAAAGAGAUAAUUGAGGACAAACUCAUGAUGAGAUGACACAUUGGUGUAGUUCUAUAAUGGAGCAUAGCUAGGAACAAUGAUACCAGCGCGUGCCGAGCAGCACAACCAUGUGUCGGCCGCCACAAGGGGCUCUUGGUUUCGUCACGGCACCAUCAAUCAUUAACCAAGACACCAUUAUCAAACAUACAACCCAAAAGAAAUCUCUCAUGGUAAAAAAUUGUGUUGCAUAGCAGCAAGCACUAUGCAGAAGAGGGGUAUCAAACUGAGAUAGUCAUGAGAUUAGAGGUCCACAAGGAGGUGAUUUAAAGAUCAAACAUAGUACUAGAGAACAUAUAUCACAUGAGAUUAAGACGGAUAAACAUCAAGAGACUCAACAGAGUUGGAGAUAAAACGAUUGAGAUUUAAAAGAUGAAGUCAAUACACUGAUUAGGGGUUCCAUUGCUACAACAAUGACAUGAUCUACAAGGAAAAGAUUUUUAUAGAUCCAUGCAACAACCGAUUAGUGUAGCACUAGAUCGAUCAAGAUGACAAGGAGAAGAGAGUCUGAUAGGACUUCUUAGGGUCGGAUCUUGAUACAUAGGAGUAAGACACCCACGACAUACGCAAGCAUGUAGGAGAGAUAAGCUUGGGAUCAUGAAUCAAAUUAGGGAAUGGAUACACAACAUUCAAGAUCUAACAACCAUGCACAAACUCAAGCUCUUUAUCAUUGGAAUCUACUUGGAUAUAACCAUGAGAUUAAAGUGACAUGAGUGCUGUUCAAAGGCUCUUCAACACUUGCAUGCUUACUAAGGACAAAAAGGUAAAACUAUGACACUACCUAGUUAACAACACAUCCACUCAUGCAUCAUGGUUUUAAGCAAACAUGUGAGAACAUGAAUCACACUAUCUCCAACAAUCAUUACUAAGCACAAAAAUUGUAGAUAUCAAGCAAUCAUCUAAUGCAACACUAGUACACAUGAACAUACAAAACAUGAUGGUAAAGUGUUUUUUCUUUUACUUUCUUUUACUAGAAAGGUGUAUGUUUCUUCUCCAGUAGUGAAAACAAAUUUUAACUUAUGUUUAAAAGACUAGUCAUCUUAUAGAUGUGCAUCAUACUGACAGGGUGCAUAGAUCGACCACAACAUGGGCAAAACAAAGCUAAUUACACCCUAUCUUCAAUUAUAGCUAUUCAAGCAACAUGGAGCAAAACAUUUCAUCUAACUUCACACAAGCUGGAUAACAGCACAUUCAUUCACAAGUUACUUGUUGUUAGAACAAAGGUGAGGGAAGCAUAGUUAUACAUAAGACAACAAUCAUAAUGAUGCAUGCUUCGUCCUAUUCGUCCUCACAAAAUUGCGAGGUGGCAAUCACGUUCUAUGUCGGUGGCAUAACACGUACACUCUCGCCAUAUAGCUAGUCGUAAUAUUCAAUUUACGCAUUCGUGGUUAGUGUACCUGCAGAAAAUUCAUUUCAGCCCUCACACAGUAUGAAACAUGCAGUACAAGAUUUAAAAGUUAUGCGCUCCACACACGUGUAUCCCCAUACUCGUAUGUGUAGUGCUACUACCCACAUCAUCGUCCUAGCGACAGCAUCGCCUCUAAGGACGAAAUCACCCAUCAUGUGGUACCUUUUCAUAGGCACAUGUAAAAUGUGCACAAGAUCCAGUACCAAAAGCACUUCCCUAGAUCGGUGGUGUAUCCGAUCAUGCUCUCACAGCUCACACUUACCGAGGCGUAGAGGAAAAAUGAUCCAUAAAUUACCAUUCAAAUAAAUGGCACUCAUACUAUUGCACGCAAUAUGAGCAACAAAAUAGAAAUAUUAUGCAAAAACCACGAAGUCAGUACUUAAAUAAACCACCUAAAGGUCCUUAUUUGGGCAUAAAGGAAAUGACCACUGGCAUACUUAGGUAAAACUUUUUCAGAUUUGAACACACCUAUACAUAGAACAGCUAUAAGUUGUCAAAAACUGGUUUUGAAAAACUAACCUUUUUGUUUUAAAUACACAUAUGACAAGUUUAAUGUUGAACCUUGCUUUGAUACUAGCUGUAACAGAACCGCCCAAUUUAUAAGAGAUCAACUAUUAAAAACUCCCGCCAAAGCAGUUGCUUUAACAUAAUCGAACUCUCAUAAACCCGGUAGUCCGUGAAAUCACGAGGGAUUUCAAACCAAUCAUCAUACAAGCCAAGAUCAUAGUGAUUCAACAUAACAAGUCACAUGUUACAUCCAUUUCACAAGUAGUUUGAUAUACAUCAGAGUUCAAUAUAGUUAUUACAACUUAAGUUGAAAUGUAGCGGAAGCAAAGUAAUUUAAAACUAAUAUUGCCCUCAUUUCAAAUACAUGCCAGUAUCCAGGUCAACUCCAACAAAACCAACAUAGAUGAGGUAACUAAGAAGGAUCAUGCCCAUGAUAUUACUCCUCUAUUAUUGUAGGAGUCAUCCAAAUCUUGCAGUAGCCAUGAUACAUCACAACCUGCAACAAGUGGGAAUAAACCCUGAGUACGAGAUGGUACUCAGCUAGACUUACCCGUCAUAAACCAGAAAUAAUAUGACACCAAGGAGUAUGCAAGUUUAUUGGUGGGGCUAGCUUCACAACACUUUUUGCAUAAAAAGCUUAGGUUACAGGUAAGUAACUUUUCAGGUAUUUAGCUCAAGCUAAUAAUCAUUACCUGUCAUCUAUAUUAGCACAUGUACUAGAGCAAUCACUUUUUUAAGAUACAAUAGUAGUACCCAUGAUCGAUGUGGCAUUUCCAACAUCAUCAUCAUACCAUAACCAUCCAAGUGUUCCAUAAACAUUACUACGAUGACGAAGAUCAAGUCAAGUGCUCACUGUCUAGGAGCGAUGGCGAUUCAAAUCGAUUUCUAACCAGCUGGUGAUUUUAUUCCCCACAAAACCACACUCACUGAUCAAGUGAGCUACAGGUCACCAUAUUACACUAUCUAGGACUAAUUCGUGGGUUCGACAGGCACCGCCCGUACCCGAGGACCGUUCCGACGACCGAGGUAUCCAAGGUAUACCAAGGUUGCGCGCCGCGCCCUCGUUGUUCUCCUCAACCAUCACCAAUACAGCGCGUACAUCGGGCCGAUUCCCGGCACAGAUAGUGUUCAGGCUUCGUGGUCGGAACGACUUAUCCUUCCAGCUAAGUGUGGGGCAUGCAUUCAAUAUGAUAAGAGGGCCAUCAACAAUCGGUCCUUAAUCGAAACAGGCGGGGAUAGGUAGGCAAACAAGACCUCCAUGCCUUGUUGCUUCUCUAUCAUCGUCCCGCCCGGUCUCCAAUUAUCCAUCCUCAUCACUUGGUUAUUUCCAUGAUAGCAUAUAUAUCCAACUUAUCUAGGUAUUCACCUAUUUGGCUCAGGUGACUGGACAUCACCUAGCUUCUACCGGUUUAAGCAUGGCUAAGCAUUUAGAUUCGAUCUUGAAUCUACAUAGGGUUAUAGGUAUAUUUGCUGGAAAAGGAGUGAUAUAUGCAGCAAGGGUUUCACCCAACUCCUAUACGCAACAAUACAUAUAUAACAUAUAUUCUCAAUUGCAUUCAAAAGUAGUAGGAGACUUAUAGUGCUCCAGGGCUUGCCUGGAUCAACACGGAGUCAGUUCAAUUAGUUGCUCCAUCUUGGUGACAUCUUAGGUCACAACACUUGUUUAGUCCUUCCACCUUCACGAUGGGUCCACCCAACACCGUCUUCGGGUUUGUUCCCACACCAACACAUUCACGUGAUUCAUCUAGAACACCUAGAUGAGAUGCAAGAUGCAAGUGCAUGAAUAUGUAGAAUAGCAACACAAGAUGCAUCACAUAAGAGUAUGCAAGACACAGACAUCUAAGUUAUUUAACUAACAUUACAUAACCAACUAUAGAGAGCAAGCAUAUAAAGCAUGACAUAUGUUUAACAAGGUUACAAGUGUAUUACUUAAUCACCAUUAAAGAAAUGAAUCAUACUUAGAUCACACAAAAUAAAGCAAUCAAGCAUUCAUGUAUUUCAGCAAUUCUGGACAUACAUGCAACAACUCAGUAAAUAAAUCAUAACUGGAGUUACACAACUCCAAAAACUAUGCAAUAGGACAUUCUGGAAAUAUUAUAGAAUUAUCUACAAUUCGUCUUUAAUCAUAUUAGCAUGAUUAACAAGUUAACCAGGUCAAACAUGCAUGACCAUAUAAUCUGGUCUAGGAAUUUCCAGAGAACAAGCGUUUCAAAGGAUGAACUUUAUACAAUUGUAACACACAAACCACUUAGCCAAAUCACAUGAAACAUUACAACAAGAUAUAUUAGUAAGUUAUCUACAUCUUUUCUAUAUACAAGUUUCACAGAAAACUUCAUUUAUAUCAUGGAAUUAACUGCAUAAAUAAAACUGCUCAUGCUGCCCAAACAGUAGAGGUACAAUUACAAACAGAAAACUAAUAGACAAUUCAAAGCAGCAUAACUGGAGUUGUAGACCUCCAGAAAACAUGAUUCUUAUCUUUUUGGAAAUAUUAUAAAGUUACCUACAACUUUCUUAUUAUCAUCUAAAUAUGAAUCCACAAUUAACAAGGUCAUUUAAUUCCAUGAAUACAUCUCUGUCCAAAACAUAGACAGAAUCUGACAUGCCACAUUACACAGCUAUAACUUGAGUUUCACAUGUCCAUAAAUUAUGGUUAUAUACUUUCUAGCGAUAUUACUAAAUUUUUAACAACUUUGUUAUAAACAUGUACAGCUAAAUCUACAACUAAAAGGUCUUACAUUACAAACAACGCAACCCUGUCUGGGUUUACACAGAAACUGGAAUAGUAAUUUAAACCACUAUAAAUAAACAUAUGCUUAACCAAGAAUUAUGGUAUUUAGAUUUCUAGAAAGCUUAUGAAAAGUAAUACAACUCACAUAUUUUCACCCAGGCAUGAUUCACAACUUAACUGUGUCAAACAAUGCAAACAUGCCGAUCCACUCAGAAUAAGAGCAAAAAAACACAGGGCAUUUGUUAUUUUCAGAACUCUUAAUAUAUCAUUCCUAAAUUCAUGAAACUUUUACCAGACAUCAAAUCUCAUAUGAAAAGGAUGUCACAAUAGUUUCAAAAUUAUUGGACCAAUACUACAGCAGUUAUGAAAAAGACAAAUAUAGCAAGCAAUUAAAACCUAACUGCAUAAAUCUAUUUUUACGGCUAAAACUUCAAACUAAACCAUGCAAUAUUAUAGAUCUACUGGAUAGAAAAUUUCAUGAGGAUUCCAAAAAGUUUACAUUUGCUAUUUUACGACUUUUCUAGCAUUUUCUAUGAACUAACAAAGUUCAACCAAAAAUCAGAAAAAACAAAAGAAAAGGAAAACAGAUAUUGCAUCUGGGACCCUGAGCUUUCUCAAAAAUCAACCCGCAGCCCAUAAGUACUAUUCAUAUGAGUCUAUGGUUCGCAUUUGAAACCCUAAGGUUUACUCUAUUUCAACCCAACGUCCUUCGUCUUCGUGUGUCACAAACAGAACGAAGCAGACUGGCAAGAAGGAAGCAGACCGGCCCUUGCACGUGCUGGAGAUGGUGUGCAGGGGCAGCGGGGAGGGGAUGGCCGGCCUGGCCGUGGCGAGCUGCAGCCCGCUCCUGGCACUGGAGAGGGAGCAGCGAGCUCUGCUAGGAUGGCGGCCAUGGCGACGGAUGGGAGAGAGUUGGAGAGGGAAGAAGGCGAGUGGAGGAUGGGAGGCAAUGCAGAGCGUGCUGGUGUGUGUGAGGAGCACUCUCUGGCCUGUCCUCAACGAAACAGAUAGCAGCAAGGGCGAGGUGGAGAUGUCACCCAUGGUGGGACAAGCUCUGCUGCAUGGUGACCACGUAGCCAUUUCAUCGAGCACGUGGCGGACAACAAAGUAGCCAAGGUGGGACGCCGAUUCGAGCCAUUCUAGGCUGAACUGGACCUUGGAUCAAAAACAAAGUUUGCUUAUCUCGCCGUGCUCUACAACUUUCAUUAAGAGUGUUCGGCCAUUAGAUCAACACAUUAAGAGAUAAUUAAAUGCCAAGUCACGAGUGUCAACGUAUUGACGGUGAUUAGCAAAACCAAGAAUUGAUGGUCCAAACCAUGUCAAACUUGAUGCAACUUUUUGCAUGAUCUUCUCCAAACAAUUCUCCCCAACUUUUGUUUUUGGACCAACUUGAGUUACUUAACAAAAACAAGAGAAUGCGGCAUGUCAACGAGUUCACGUCCGUUUAGCGAUAAAAUAAUCUUUUGCUGUUUUGGGAGCUAUUGUUGAACAUCCAAAUGAACUCCAAAUUUGAUGAUACUUGAUCCAUUGUUUCCACAAAAAAGGGUACUCCAAAUCAUAUUAAGGAAUUCAAUUGAGUUACCAUAUGAAUUUGGAUGCUAAAAUGUCACAAAGAUGGUAACUCACUGCGGUACUUCUAGGGACUUAGAAUUAUUUCUCAGGGCUAAAAAGCAGCAGCUGAUUCGAACUUUGAGCCUCUGUUUGAACUAUUUGCAAGCUGAUUUCGUUCAUGGCCCUUGGACAAGAUUUGCUUUACAGAAGCUAAGGUCAAUCCUCAUAACUACAAUAGAAGUCAAACUUUCACUUAGGUCAAAGCAGUAACCUGAUAAAGCUCGAAAUAGGGUUUUAGGCCAAUUGAAGCAUUUCCAUUGCAUAAGCUCAACAUGAACCCUUCAUGACUUUUGUUGUAGAAUUCAUCUAGAGUCAUAUGAGCAAGUUUGGAAGGUUUGGUUGAUGACCCGUGAUUCUAUUUCCUUAAUAAAGCCAUUUCAACAAGGAUAUAACUUAUCAUUUCAUGUGACUUCUUGAUUCCAAACUUCACCAAACUUUUCCAGGGACCAACAUAGAUUGGGAUGGAUAUGAGACACAUGAAAACGGUUCCACUAGCAUUAUCUAAGCAUACCUUUUAACAAGGGCCUAUAUGUAAGUAAAGGUGCAUCGUCCAAGUCCAAGUUAGAGCUUACUUUCAUAGACUAACUUUGACCUCUUUAUUACCAUUGAACUUGUCAUGUUUGUGCUCAAACAUAGUACUUAGCAAUUGACAAACACCUGGGGUGUUACACUCCUUCCACCAACAAGUAUGUCUUGAUGGGACAGGGCGAGCUUCUUCAUACUCUGGUUCCGUUAAGCCAUAGAUACCCCGAGUCAAGCAUGGUCUUCCAGAGUUGCUGCGAGCAAUCUUUUCGUUACGAACCAUCUAUGGAAUUAGACCAAGAGGUAGUUAGAAUAGAAGCAAUAAUUUUAUAAUAGAAUUAGAUGGUAGAAGCAUAUGAAUUUUAUCAAAUAUCAAGGGCGAGGUAGUAAGCAUGAAUGUAGUGAAGCAAAGAUGACUAAAACAACCAUUACUAUCUAGGUUUGCGUCCUACAGUCAGCAUUACUUUGAUACCACUUUGUAGCACCCAAUUUUAAGAACAAAACCAGAUACACACCAUAUGUGAGCCCAGGAAGUCAAAUCUCACUUAUAGCCACAAAAUACAACGAACUUAAUUUUAAAAGAUAUAACCUUAGAUAGCAAACAGCGGAAGUGCACUCCGUUCUUCAGGUGAAAGCUACAAAUCUACAGGGACAACUGACUGGUUGAGCACAAGCCUAAACUCUUCUCCAAACUUGCAAUCUGGUACCCAUCCGGGAUUUUGAUCCAAAUAAAAUGUAAAGUGUGACAGAACCACCCAAUUUAUACAAGUUCAAGUACGACUGUCCCCGUUUAACACGUUGACACGCGCAUACUCUCACUUAUAUAAACCCGGUAGUCUAUCGAGUGUCACGAAGGACCUCGGUAAAUCAACUUUACACCAAGAUCGCAUGAUUAAGCAAAUACACAUCACAUACAUGGAGAUUUGCAGUGGAAAUAAUAUUACAAAAGAGUUCACAAAUAAUAGUACAAGUUUGGAUUUUCCAAAUUGAUUAGAAGACAACAUAGCUUUCAAAUGAUUACAAUAACAUAAGUUCCAAAUACAUUGCUAGCAUAAGUGACAUCCUCUGACAAAAGCAUGUAGAUGAGAACACUAUAUAGAAUCACCGAGCCCACCGGCGGUUAGCCACCACCUUUAGCAGACUGAAAACUUCACCUGCAACAGGUGGGAUAAACCCUGAGUACUUGAAUGUACUCAGCUAGACUUACCCGACAGGAGAGAAAAUAAAAGACUCUCAAGGAUAUACAAGGCUAUUUGGUGGAGUUGGUUGGAUAGCAUAUCUUUGCCAAAAAGAGCAUUACUAUCAUGAGUCCUUACUUUCAACCUUUUAGUCAACAUUUUAGCAUCAAGUUCAGUUAAGCUACCACAGCUAGAUUUUGCACCUAUUCUAUAGCAACCACUUGAUUAAUAAGCAUCACAUUAAUAACCAUAUCUGGUUUAUCAUGUAGCCAUCAUCAUCAUCAUAACCAUUAAGUUUAUUUAGUGAAUUCUACGUUGCCGCUGCUCAAGUCAAGUUCUCACUAUCCGGGAGAGACGGCGAUUCGAAUCGAUUCCUAUCCAGCUGGAGGGGUAUUCCUAGCACUCACCCAAGCAUACCUCGCGAGGGCAGCUCGGAUCACCUUUAGCACAACUCCGGACCAAUUCGCGGGUCCGUCCAGCGCCGCACCCCAGGGACCGCCAAUCUGCCAAGGCAGGACUCUAACCUGACACCUUGGGCUUACGCCAUUGACUCCCCGCACAUCCUUGCUACCAACCGGGGUGCGCACUCAUACAGAACGGGGUAUCCGGCCUGAGUUGCACUCGUAGGCUUCGCGGUCGGAACGACUUAUCCGGCCAACUAAGUGUUAGGCAUACGUUCAACAUGACACGAGGACGUACAGCGAUUCGGUCCUUAACCGACACAGACGGGGAUAGAUUCACACCCAAGACCUCCAUGCCUUGUUGUUGCACUAUCGUCAUCCCGCCCGGUCUCAAGUUCAUUAUUAGCACAAGGUUAUUUCCACGAUAGCAAAUAUAACCAACCGUGAUCAGGUAUCCACCUAUCUCUCGCAGGUGACAGGAAAUCACCUGGCUUCUACCGAGCUAAGCAUAGCUAAGCAUAGAACGUCUUCCUUAUACUAGUAAGGGUUCAGGUAGUUUCAUAUAGUGGACAAGGUAGGAAUAUAUGCACCAACGGUUUCAUUCAACUCCUAUCACCUAAUGCAUCAUAUAAAGUUAUACUCUUGUGCUUUUAUAAAAAGAGAGGGUAGGAGACUUAGAAUGCUCCGGGGCUUGCCUGGAAUCUGACACAAGUCAGUUAAGUUAGCUUGCGCCAUUUUGACGAUAUCCAAGUUCACAACACUUGUAUAGUCCUUUCAUCAUCCUGAUAGGUCCACCAUCAAGUCCUUCACGUGGUUCAUCUAGUGUACCUAAAUGAGAUGCGAGAUGCAAGUGUAUGAACACAUAGAAGUGCAAUAGACAAUGCAUGAUAUACAGCAAGGAGACAAUAUUAUGUUACUCUACACAUACAUAUGUGUUUCAUGCUGCUUAAGUAACAUAACACAAUCAACAUACUAAGAUAGAAAAGAAUGCAACCAAGUAUAUCAGGCAUGGCAUACAUGUUUCACAAGAUUUCAGGUGUAAUAACAUGGCCAUUAUCAAAGACAUGAGUCACACCUAGCAAUAUACCAAGCAACAGCAAUACAAGGGAUCUGUUAUUUUUAGGACUGUUAACAGCAGCUGAGAAAAUAAAUCAUAACUGGAGUUUCACAACUCCAAAAGACAUGAAUUAAGACAUUAUGGAAAGCUUAAGAAAGUAUCUACAUUUGAUAUUUAGACAUCAAAGCAUGAUUCUCAACUUAAGCUGGUCGAAAUUAUAAAGUUCCAGAAUCUGUCCCUGACAAACAGAGAGCAGCCAUUUCUGGAAUCCAACUUUGAACAGACAUAACUCACAAACCACAAGACCAAAUGCCACCAAAUUUUAACAGCAGCUAGAUAAAUAAAUUAUCUACAACUUUGAUAAUAACAAGAUUCCUAGAAAACAGAAUUUACAUAUUGUAAUCCAAACAGUUCCAGAAACUGUCCAGAAACAACAAUUGCAAACAAUUAAUUAUUAACUUAUGUUUCAAACAUGCAUUUGAGCAAAACCAUUGUUACCAACAGCUUGAACAUAACCAAAGAACACCAGAAAACAUAGUGGUUAUUACCAAAUAAAUUUAUUUAAUGCCUUUCUUAAUUUAUUUGGAUAAUAAGGUGAAUUAAAGAAUAUAUAACAAAAGUGCUCAAUAAAUUCCACCAAAAUUACAGUGGCUUCUAAAUACUAUCCAUAGUCCACUGUAUAAAUUUCACUGCAUUUUAAUAAAGAUAACAACAUCUAUGAAAAAGACAAAUUGCUAUUGCAAUUAACCAUGUGAGAGCAAGAUAAAUGCACAAAUCAUAUUUUCUUCAAACACAUGGCCACAUCAUACGUAAACAUGAUACAAAAAUAUCCUAUAAUUGUACUGGAACAACAUUUUCCAUUUUUAUAUUUUUAUUCACAAUUAUAAACCAUUUAUUUAAUCCCCAUGAGGACAUCUCUGUUCAAACAUAGACAGAAUCUAUCAUGCCACAUUAAACAGCCAUAACUUGAGUUUUAUAUGCCCAUAAAUUAUGGUUAUGUACUUUCUAGAAAGCUUACUAAAUUGUGAACAACUUUGUUAUAAACAUAUAGAGCUAAAUCUGCAACUAACAAGGUCUUACAUAACAAACAAUGCAUCCCUGUCUGGGUUUAGACAGAAACUGAAACAGUACUUUCAACCACUAUAACUAAACAUAUGCUUAACCAAAAAUUAUGCUAUUUAGCUUGAUGGAAAGCUCAUGAAAACUUCUACAACUCAUAUAUUUUCACCCAGGCAUGAUUCACAACCUAACUGAGCCAAACAAUAUAAACAUGCAGAUCCACUCAGAAUAGGAGCAAAGCAACACAGAGCAAUUGUUAUUUUUAUAACUCUUAAUCUGUCAUUCGUAAAUUUAUGAAACUUUCACCAGACAUCAAAUAUCAUAUGAGCAGCUUGUCAUAAUAUUUUUACAUUUAUUUGAGCAAUAAUACAGUGGUUAUGAAAAAGACAAAUAUGACAAGCAAUUAAAAUCGAACUGCACAAAUCUAUUUUUACUGCUAAAACUGCAAACUAAACCAUGUCAUAUUAUAGAUCUACUGCAUAGAGCAUUUCACAAGGAUUCCAAAAAGUCCACCUUUGCUAUUUUAUAACUUUUCUAUGAAUUACUAUGGAUUUCCAAAGUUCAUCCAUGAAAUCUGCAAAAACAAAAUAAAAGGAAAACAUAGAUCUUGCACCGGGGACCCUGGAUUUGCCAUGAAUCACGCUAUAACCCAGAAAUACUAUUCAUAUAUGUAUUGGCUUUGGCUUCGCAUCUGGAACCCUGAGUUGUUUUUUAUUCUAACCCGAGAUCCUUCUCCUUCCAUCAGACUAACGAACAGAGAGACCCAGAGACGGAGCAGGCCGGCCAUGGGCACUUGCAACCAUGGAGGAAGAGUGUCGGAGCCUGGGAACUGCAGGCCACGACGCCGGGUACUAGCUUAGCCCAGGCUGCAGGCAGCAGUGGCGCAGCAGCAGCUCGAGCUCCUCGUCCGUCCAUGGCGGUGGACUGCCAUGGGGAGCAGAGAGCAAGGAGAGAGGCAAGGGGGCGUGUGAGGCGAGUGAAGGAGGUUAGGGACGCUCUGGUGCUUCUCCACACUGGCACAGACGGGGAAAAGCAAGGUGGUGGUGGCAGCAAUGGUGGUGUGGGCGCUGUGCAUGGUCGCCACGCGCCAGCAACGUGUCCACCCGUUGAGGCGUUUCCUCGAGCACGUGGCGUGCAGCGAAGUGGCCGGCAUGGGAGGCGAUUUCAGGCCUUUUCCAGGCUGAAUUGGACAUUGGGCCAAAAAUGAAGAUUGUCAAGCUCAGUCUGCUCUACAUUUGUUGUUUAAGAGUCACGGCCAUUAGGGUUGUAGUUUAGUAGAUAAUUGGAUGCCAAUCAAUGAGUGUCAAUGAAUUGAUAGUGAUUAGCAAAACUCAAAAUUGAUGACCAAAACGAAGUCAAAAUGGUGUCAUCCUUUGGCAUGCUCUUGUCAACAAUAUGCACUCCAACUUUUAUUUUGGGACCCAAGCAAGUUGUUUAGUAAAAUUUGGAGAACGCGGAAUGCCAACGUGAUGAACUGCAAACCUAGACUUAGAAACUCUAAGUGCUGGAAAUUAUAGCAGAUUCAAUAUUGUGACUAUUAUUUGACAUGCUUAGAAGAUGAUUCAUACUUAGUAACUUUAACAAAGAUUGUAGUAUGAAAACUAUACUACAACUUUUACAAAAGGAUCUUGUACUGGUUCAGUCUUAUUUGGAAGAUACAAGGCUCCAAACUAGGGUACCCGAAACUGAGCACCUCAGGACAGCCAAAAUUCUGGAGUUCCAAAACAGCACUGCAUUGAAUCUUGUAAACUUAAUUUGACUAGGUUAGAGACAAAAAUAGCUCUUGAUCAUUAAACAAAGUUUGUUCUACCAAAUCUAAACUACAACUUUCAUUUAAGGUCAAACCUCAGAACUAGUACAGAAGUCAAACUUUCACUUUGGUCAAUGCAGCAACUUGAUAAAGCUCAAACUAAGGUUUUAGGCUGAUUGAAGCAUUUUCUAGGCACAAGCUCAACAUGUACCCUUCAUGACUUUUGUUGUAGAGUUCACCUAGAGUCAUUUAGGCAAGGUUGCAAGGAUUGGUUGAUGACCUAUGGUUCUAUUCACUUAAUGAGGUCAUUCCAACAAGCAUGUAACUUAUCAUUUCAUGUGACCUUUUGAUUCCAAACUUCUUGAAACUUUUUGAGUGAUCACUAUAGGCAGUGAUGGAGGUGGGACACAUGAGAGAUGUUCCAUUAAUGUCACCCAAGCAUGCACUUUGAAAAGGGCCUAUAUGUAAGCAAGGGUGUGUUCUCCAAGUUUAACUUGAGGCUCACUUUCAUGGAUUGACUUUAACAUGAUCAUCACCACUUAUCAUGACAUGUUUGAACUCAAAACCUAAGGUCUAACUCGUAGCAAACACCUAGGGUGUUACAUAAAGGCAAGUGUAAGUACAUCUCAUACUCAGCAAGAAUAACAUAGGGUUCAUGAGGCUCAAAGGCUAGACACUGGUUUAACUGCAUGUAGCUUUUUGUUCAUGAGGCUCAAAGGUUCGUCUAACAAGUUAGGGCCGCUUGGUUUCGUUAGUCAGUCCAUGUGAUUCUACCGCGCAGGGAAUCCAUGGUCUGCUAUCCCCCAUUUGAGCCACACAGUUAACCUCUAACAAGCUACAAAAGGUCCUCAUACUGAGCUAAAGCCAGAGCCAUGUAGCCCUCACAGUUGUACUGUAUGUCCCGGAUGGUCAUAUACAGAUAAGUCCUUAUGGAGAGAAACUAGAGCACCAUAAGAUAGCUCAACGCUCUAGCCCCCUUUACCAAAGUUGCUAAAAGUCCUCUUUUAAUGUUUAUUGCAUAUUCCAUUAAUCAAAUUACAAGAUCAUAGUUUAGUGGAGCACUAGCAUAGGCUACCAAUGCAAAACCAUAGGUGACAAGGUAUAAGAUCAAUACUAGGAAAUCCUUAGCAAGGAGACACAUGCAAUAUGAAUUGUGUGAUGAAAGUUAUUAGGAAAACAAGGAUGAUCCCAUGCUAUACUUGCCUUGAAACUCAGAUCCUUCUUUUACUUCCAAAACUUCUACUAUCAGCUUCUGGAUCACCACGUAAAAGCUCACCGUCUAAACUCAGUCAUCACAUCAACAACAAUCAUCCAUAGGUAAUCAUACAAAGCAAACAAAUAUAUAAUUAGAACAAUACACCAACAGUAGAAAAUAAACAUGAAAAAUUUAUAAAAUGAAUCUACGUUGCACUACGAUCACACAGACGUAAAGAUCAUAAAAUUGGAGCUAUAACGAAGAAGAUAUGAAUUUUCUAAGGUUUUCUUUAGAAAAAAAUAAUUAAUUAAAUAGGGUCACGAAAUUAAAAAGUUUCAAACUAGUAAAACAGUGAGACUAACAUAAAGAUCUCGUGAUUACGAAACUAAUGCAAUUUGAAUGGGUCAAAUCGAAGUUAAAACGAAUAUUUUAUGAGCAAUAUAAAACCAGUGGCAAACUUGUAAUUUUCUGAAAACAUAUUUUGAAACUGAGUACUGAGUUUACGUCUUCAAAAUCGGAAUGCGUAUUUUCGAAAGUGUGUUUUGGACUGCGGGUUCGAUAACUAAAUAACUCAGGGGUUCUUUUGAAAAGUUAUGGCCGAAGGGGUAUCCUUCAUCUCGGGCCGUUGGAUCGCGCUUGAACGGUUGCGAUUAGAUCGGGGUGGGAAGAGAGAGGUGGCCGGCCAGAGUUGGAGGGGGUCACGGCGGCGCCAUGGCCAGAGAUGGCCGGUGUUGGCCAAUCAGGUGAUUUAGAGCACUAGAAAAUGAACCGAUAGCACUGGGACGUAGCGAAACUCGAGGCAAACUCACCUAGGGCAAAAUCAAAGCCAUGGAGCGGCCGGUGAGUGCUUGCAACGGAGUAUGGUGGACGACGGCUUCUGCAAAAGAUCGACGAGGUCAAACGGAGUGUAGAGAGGACGAAAUCGCGAGAAAGAAGGCUUGGCGUAGUCGCAAGGACGAUAGGAAGCUCGGUUGAGAACUCACGGAGGCAGAGAUGCAACGAAACGGGACUUCAACCUCGGUGGUGAACUUGUUCUUUUCGGCAGCGGCUGCAGCUCGGCUAGGGCUAGGGUGUGUGCCAAGGUUGGGGUUGGGGAGUUCGGCGAGGCCAUGGCUUCUAUUUAAGAGGGCUCCCAGCCGUGCGCUACACACAGAGCGUGAGGAAUUCAGGGCGGAUUUCCUCGGACAGAGUCCGGUCUCCCCACGGCCAGAGGUAGGGGACGCGGCUAACCAUAGGGUCCCACCUGGCGGUGACUUAAGGUCGUGGGGCCCGCUCGUCAAUGGAAAGAAGAGAGGGAAGGGGUGCUAGGGGCUGACUGGGCCAUAGCUCACUGCGCGCGCUGGGCCGAGGGGAAAGAUUGGGAGUGGGCCGCGGUUGCCGCUUGGGCCAGAGAGAAGGGCGCUCGGGCCGAAAACCAGAGAGAGGUGAGGAUUUCCCUUUUUAUUUUCUGUUUCCCUUUUCUUUUCAAAACAUUUUCAAAACCAAAUUUGAAUUCCUUUUAAACUUUAGUCAAAACCACUCAUCACAAUAAAUCAAAUGCAAAGACAUGCAUGCUCAAACAAGUUGUUAACUCCUAUGGUAAAUUUUAAUUUAAAGAAAAAUAUUAUUUUUUCCAAUAAUUCAUGGGCACAAAAAUAGACAAUUAAAGCAAUUUCUCCUAUUUUGGAAACUUGCAAAUUUUGGGGUGUUACACAUUAGCUCAAGGACACGAUGACUAGCAACUACAGUCCCAAUGCCGUAAUCCCUAUGGAUACUAGGAGUAGAAACUAAGAUUUACACAUGUAAAACCCACCUCCCCUUGAGGCUAUAAAAUGGGAGGUAGGGCACUGUCUAGAGGCAGAUCGAACAAGUCUAACACAACCAACCCACAAAUCACAACACUCCGUAUAACACACUCGAGCACUCUGCCAUCCACAAAGUCGAGGCCUGGGACUACUUCCCUCUCUCGCAACUAGCUUGUACCCCCUACUACAAGUACUUUAGGUGCAAGAUAAUACAGGAUCCGACCACCCCAUUGGACGUAGGAUAGUGUUGGCCCGAACUAGUAUAAAUCCCUUGUGUUCUUCUUGAAUCACCAUCUAGGUAAUACAGGAUCCGACCACCACUUGUUACUCGUGAGUGCCACCCACAAAGUAAUAGAUGACUUGAUCACCAAAUGUCUCGACGUGGUGUCUAGGUGUUUUGCUUAUCUGCGAGUAUCCCCAAUCGUGUCGGGUAGUGAGAUAGAUCGUGGGUGUUAUAGACCCAUUGAGUCCUUUGUAGGCCUUCCCCCGUACGGUGGAUAGGUAGUGGGAUUGUCAGGUUUAGAGGAGGUUCAUGUACUCAUUUUUAUGUGUACAUUCCUCCGAUGUGUUAGGGAACUAUAGUAGUAUAACUUAGCCAUGAUUGUUAGACAUACUUGCACUAAAUGGAGUAGCUUUGACUGUAUCUUAAAUACUUAGGAGUUAUUUCUUUAUUACCUGAUUAGACAAACGCUGACAUGAUUAGAGUGCUAUGAUGGGAUUAGUAUUAUUAGGAGAUGAUUGAUCAUUUUUAUCAUUUUUUUAUAUUGAUCAUAUUUAUCAUAUUUAUCAUUUAUCUAUUAUUUAUCUUGCGACACCUUCCUGUUAUUGAGGAGAGAGUUAACAUUGGCUACAUCUCUUAUUCACUGUAUAUAUAAGUGUUAUCAAUACUCUAGAGUAGCCUCUUAGCAAUGCCUUCCCAACCUGGUAAUACUUUAGGUAAAAUGCUACAAUGGUAUAAUUAUCUGUCCGCUUGCAGAAUCAUUCUUAGUUCAUAUUUAUCUUUAUUUAUUUCUACCUAGUCACAUAAAAUGAUAAGAUUUAGUACCAGAGUUUAUUCCUAGCUUUACAAUUAGGGAUGACAACCUAGUUUCACAGUUAGGAGUAAGGGUCAAGAGGCUAGUGGCUAGUUGCUAAAGGCAAGUUAAUUAAUACCAACAUUUCUAGUGUUAUUGCAUGGGAUAAAGAUUUGGGUUUUAUUGCAGUAACGUUAGAAAUGCCAACAAGCAUUUUUGGCGCCGUUACCGGGGAAGGCUAAUAAACUUAGGAAAAGUAUUGAUAACCAUAUGCACCACAAUAGAGAAGUCUCCUAAAAGGCUAUCAACAGGUCGAAGUCCCAUGUGUCAAAGAUAUAAAAGCUUAAAUGUACUGGGUUCCUUCUACCUAGAUGGGUAGGAUGUGUAGGAUUCCUAAACUGGAGAUAAUAUGUCCCAAGAGACUUCUCAUGAAUUUUAUUGUUGGGAUUAAUGUCAUGUCUUGUAUUAAAUGUUCUGCAAGAGACAUAGACAUGAUGUUUAUCCCUACAACUGGAUUAUAGAGAGCUUUUAUUUGGCCCAUAUUGAUUAUGCAAUGAAUUGGAAUAGAAGAUGAAUCUAAAUGGAUUAUUUCAGUGGAAAGCUCUAAUUCUUCUAACCAUUCAUUACUUAUAAUAGAUACUAAUUCUCCUUUCUUCUCGAGGGAAUAUCCUCAGGGGGAUUAAAAGACUCUCUAGAGUUUCUUUGUGGCCUCUUCACAGAGUGAUAAUUCAAGAUGUUUCCAAAUUCAGAAAAGAUAUCAGGUUCUAUGUCUAGCAUAAAAUCUGGAAACAAAAUUUGUUCAUUUUCUUGCUCUAGACAUGUGUUAGCUGAAGUAGAGGUUGUGUCUAGCGAAGGGUUGGUUUCAGCUAACUAGGGUUGAGGCUCUACUUCUAGGAGGUAAUCUAAUUUAGUGGAUAGGAUUUGAUCUAGGAUUAAUCUUGUUUUCUCAGAAGAGAUAUGCAAGAAAGAUCCUCUUGAUGUAGUGUCGAGCAACUUUCUACUUUCUCUACUCAGGCCUUUAUAAAAAUGUUGUAAAAGAAUAGGGUCUUGUAGACUAAGGUCCAGACCGGAUGCUAAAAGUACAGUAAAUCAAUUCCAGGCUGAAGCCAAGGAUUCUUUAGAUUCUUGCUUUAUAGUAAGCACCUUGACUCUAAGGUCAAUGAUUUGGGAGAUGCGAUAGAAAUCUAGGCAAAAGUUAGAACAUAAAGAUCCCCAAUCGCCUUGUUGCUUACCUACUACUCUAUUAUACCAUUGUCUAGCUUUUCCCUUUAAUGAGAAAGGAAAUAGCUUCCAACGGAGAGUUUCAUCAGAUAUGCCUUCAAUGCGAAGACAGUCACAUGUUUGCUCAAAGUCUCUAAUGUGUAGGUAAGGAUUUUCAUCUCCUUCUCCUGAAAAGGAUAGGCUUUGGACCAACACAAUGAACCACGGACUUAACCUAUAGCUACAUGUUUGGAUAGGUUGUGAUGACUCAUGUGGCACUAUGCUAGUGUCCGUGGGUGCAGAGAACUAAAGGAUAGGAAUGAAAUUUAAGGUAUCCAUAAAAGAAAAGGUAAGAUGUAAGAUAAGGUGAGAUAACAGAAAAAAGAUAAAAGUGUGAUACAAGGUAGAGUAAGACAAGGUUAUCUAAGCAGACCGUCUUCGAUCCCCAGCCUAGCCGCCAGCCAGCCACCGCCGUCGCCACAACCACAGCCAUGGCUCCUCCUCCUUCUCCCACCUACUUCAACUCCUUCCCCCACCUCCCAACUCCAUGUGGGCGCACGUUGCCCCGAAAUCCCACCGCUCCUCUCUUCAUGGAUGCGGGUGUGGGCGUGGUGGCUGCUCCUCCGGCCGCGGGCGCGCUGCCCCUAGGCGCAGGCAUGCCCCUGAGCAUGCCUCCCUUGGGCACACUCCGGGUGCGGCCACCCUAGGCACGGGUGCGCUUCCCCUGAGCAUGACUCCGGGCAUGGCUACCCUGGGCGCAGGCGCGCUGUCCCUGGGCGUAACUCUGGGCCGCGUGGCUCUUCUGGUCGCAGAUAAGGCUCUUGGGCAUGGGCGCAGAUGUUGGGGACGCGGUCAUCGCCGCCAUGACUGCCGCCAUGGCUGCCGGACUAGGCAUGUCGUGGGCUAUCGUAGCCGGACUGGGCAUUGCUGCGAGCUGAUGCAGCCGCGGCGGUCUUCACCGCCCCGCCUCCACCCAACUCCGCCCGAGCUGGCGCAGCCAUGGCAGUCUUUGCCGCUUCACCUCCACCCAACUCCGCCCUCACCGCCACCGUCGUCGCUGCCCAGGUCGCAGCUACGGAGGGCCUAGCCCAUGUGCGUGAGGCUGCCCUCGCUAGGGAGCGCGAUCGUGAUGCGACCGAUACCCUGGCUCGCCAGAUCGCCGAAGCAAAGUAGCUUCUUGGCCUUCCUACCUCGCCCGAUGUUGGGGCCACAUCGUCCGGAUCGGUCGGUCCCCACGUGUCUCACACCCGCCUCCUCGUUUCGGUCGUCCUCGAGCCCGAGUCACCCUCCUACGCCCGCUGGCUGGAUCUGAUCCUCCUCACACUCCGCCGCUAUGCCCUCGAUGACCAUGUCCUCAUCGAUGCCUUGGUGGCGGUCUAGACCCCUGCGUGGCUGCGUCAUGACAGCAUCGUCCUCUCCUGGAUCCUCAGGACAACUCCAUCAAUCUCCACGAUCUCGUUUGCAUCUCCACGGAUGCUCGUUGAGCCUGGCUUGCACUCGAGGGCCAAUUCCUAGGCAAUGCCAAAGCUUAGGCUCUACAUCUCGAUGUGAGCUUCCGUACCUUCAUCCAAGGCAACCUCUCUGUUGGUGACUUCUCUUGCCAGAUGAAGAGUAUAACAGACACCCUUGGUGACCUCAGCUGGCCCGUGGAGGACUGUCUCCUAGUACUCAACGUCCUCCGUGGGCUCAGUGACCGCUACGACCACCUCCAAAUGUGGAUCACCUGGCAGCGGCCCUUCUCCACCUUCCUGUAGGUCUGUGACGACCUUGUCAUGGAGGAGCUCACUCAAGGCCUACAGCCUGGGUCCACCUUCAUGCCAGGGCCCUCGUCCUCCUCGACUCCUCUCGUCGCUACUCCAGUGCCAUGUCCGACCGCUCCACCACAGUCAUCCCUUCUUGGUCCUCUCCCCCCCGGGCCAAGUGGGGGUAGGGAGCCGUGGCGGCCACCGUCGUCGAGGCGAGGGACGUGGUGCAGGUCAUGGGGGUAACACGGCGCCGGCACCACCAUGGGGUGCACCCCAGCCAUCCUUCCCAAACCCAUGGUUAGGGCCUGUUGACACUUGCUAACACCACUUGAAUACUAUGUUGUCAUCCCCAGCAUGGCACUAGAGUGUACUAUGGUAUUUAUACGCACACAGAUAAUCCGCAAGCGCACGGAUACUGUUGAAGCUUUUACCCGGUUAAAGGUUUUAUCGUAUCCACAGGGAAACGGGAGAACUAACUACGCUCUAACUUAACCAAGAUAAAUAGAUAAGUGUAAAUAGGAAAGAUGGUAGAAUUGAAUAAGAACAAUAUUAAAGGUAAGAUAACAGUGAGUGAUAAUAUGGGAAUAGAGAAUAGAGCAAUUCUAGUAUAUGGGCGAUGGUAGCAGAAUAGAGUAUAACUAUGGUUUCUCUACUUCAAAGGGGUAUGUCUAUGUCUGGGACGAACCACGUGAUAACAGUACACCACAAAGGAUGCUUAUCCUUAGGCCGAUAAGCCCUACCCGUCCUGCUAACGAGAGGUGGACUACAGAGGACCAACGUAACUGUCACCUACGCGGCCUACCACACGAUCCAGCUAGACAGGGGAUAUCCACAAGUAAUCUAGAUCUAAGCACCUCGCUUACACCUAUACUACAACUCUCACCUAUAGCGUCCUAUAGAUUAAAGUACUCAAAAGAGUUGUGAACCAGAACAUACAUGAUUAGUAAUUGCAUAAUGAAUUAGAAGUAGAUUACCAGAGUCAUCCCAUGAGCAAGCUUGAUUAGAGCUUGAUCAUGACGAAGUACAACCGGAGGAAGAACCGACAAGACGGCCUCUCCUCUAAUCCUCCUUCGCUCUCCAUCUUGCUACUAUCUAGAUCUAGUCUAGUUUAGAGAAGAGAGGAGAGCUCUCAUCUCUAAACCCUAGCUUUUGCUCUGUCUAUGAAUAAUGAAUAAUGAUCAAGGGGUGCCUCCUCCAGGGGCCAGGGGAUCAAACCGACAUUGAUCGUGUGGUUUUCCUUGAAGUAUUAGGUCGGUGGAGCAUGAUCCGCGAAGUUGAAGCUGAUUGGUUACUGUAGCUGGGCAGGCACCCAAGGGACUUGGGCGGGCGCCCUGCCCCCGGGCCCGAUCGGCCUCCCGUUCGUUCCCGUGGCUUCUAGAGUCUUCUAGAUGGUAGAAAAUUGCGCGGCACGUUAAUAUCUCUAUGUAAACCCGACGUGUGGGCCUUUCUUUCAUAUUUCCUGAUAACCCUCUGCAGAAAUAGACAAACACCAAAACUCAUGGAAUUCUGUCUGAUAAAACCCUAAGUCUAGAUGUUGAUUUCAUUUGGAUCCUUUUCUUUGUUUAUUUGAUAAUUAAAUUUGAUACUUAAGGACCGUCAACAAACUCCCCCAAGCUUACCUCUUGCUCGUCCCUGAGCAAGGAUAGACUCAGCAAUGGAUCAGAAGUUGUUGCAAUAUCUUAAAUAUUUGAUGGUACACAUGCUUUUAAAUAAGAUCUCAUCUCUGAGUUAGAGUAAACUGUCAAGAACUAAAACUUACUUACUUUACCUUUCACCAUGGGACUUGUAACCGUCACUUCUGUCUUGAGUAGUUAAAAGAUAGAACAGUCUAGCCAAGUGCCAUGUCUCUUAUUCUUGAUCAGCUAUAGAUCUGGAGUUUUUUGCACAUUUUCAAAUAAAACUCAGAGAUUCCUUGUAUGACUCUCUAAAUCUCUCUUUUGUGGUAUUUCUGGAUCCUUACCAAGGCAGUGAUGGUAUAUGCCUUCUCUCAAGAUAUGUGGUAUUUGUGGUAUAAGGCAUAGUGACAUUGCCUUCUCUCUCACCCUACUCUAAUAAGGCUUUAAUAUCUGGAGCUCAUAGGUGGGAGACAGCUAAUACAUACUUACAAGACAUUUAUUGCAUAGUCAAACCAUGGAUCCAGAGAAACAAGUCAAUAAGUCAAAUCAAGAUAUCCAUGUGUGGCGAAUGAAUGGUGUAUGGUGAUGAUGGUGAUAACAAUGGUGGAAGUCUAAUUCUACUUUUGCUCUUUUGAGGGGAUACAUACCUUCCUUGCUUUUUGAAACUUUAUGAGGAGAAUGAGAUGCUCUAUCUUUCAUUUUUCUUUCGUCUCAGGUGGGUAUCCUGUACCCCUAAUUCUACUGUCGGACACUUGUCCAUUUUUACCUCUCGUCUCACUCUUUUUUCUUUUCUUUCGAGGUUCCGGGCACUUCCCCUUUUUAUUUCCUCGUUUAUUUAUUUUUUUUCUUUUCUUCUCUUUUCUUUUUUUUCAGAGCACUCAUCUCUUGAGAUAAUAUAGCAAGUGGUAGUAGCAAGAUAACUUGAGCAUUUAUUUCACAAGGGAAAACAGAAAUAUUUUUGGCUAUUCUCUUCCGGAUUAGGAGUAGAAUAUUUUUGGGUGGUUCUGGAGAUGGACAUGGAUGGAUAUAUAUGGAUGGUACUUCCGGAGUAGAAGUAGCAUAUAUGAGUGAACGUGCAAGUGAAUCUUGAUUUAACCACAUGACAAGCUCCUAAGGGUCUACACAGCUUGACCACACUCAAUGCUCAUAAGCAGUAAAUCAUAAAUGUGUGGCUCAAAGUCUAGCAAGCAUGUAUAUAUGGCUGUGGUAUUAAACUCUCAUCAUACAGGAACUCAUCAUGCAAUAUUUUAAAGAUUUUUCAAAGAUAAAAUUCUCCAGAAUUCUAGCAUCUCUAGGAACAGAUAAACAGCAGCUCAACCUUCCCAUAUCAUAUCUGUUAACAACUUAGAUUUUAGAUCAAGUUUUCAUCCCACAAGUUUAGAUCUAGAGCAAGCUUUAAAUUAUAACAGUUAUGUCUAAACUUGAGAGAGAACUUCAAAUUUGCAAAUUAGGCAGAGCAACUAUUCAUCAUAUCCAUGCUAGAGUUUUAUUAUUAAGAUUUAGAUUAGCAUAGCCACUUUAUUUAUUAAACACACUAAGCAAAAGAUAUAUAUAUAAACACAAAAUCUUUAUUUGGUUUUUCAUAGUUUAUGUAUUUUAAUAUUCUAAUAUAAUAUAAGUAUAAAGAUAGGUAGAAAUACUUAGCGAGAUAAAUGGGGGUGCUCUUCCCCCAAGCUAAAUUUUGACGUAAUUUCUCUUGAUGUAGCUAGCAGGUGGCAGAGUUGUAUUUGAAAGUCAGCAGCAUUCUGACAGCGAUUACAAUGUCCUCCGUCUGCUAGUCUUCUUGAUUCUUAAAUUCUGUGGAGCUCAAAUAGACAACAAAGCUUGUGGAACUAAUUAAGUGUUAGCAUAAAUAUCUAGCCUUCAUCAUGUUGAGCUUCCUCAAUAAAUAUUACUCCCUGUUUUUAUAUUUUUAUUUUCUAAAGCAGAGAAGAAAUAUUUAUUUUAUUUUUAUGCCACCACAGUGAAGGUACUUAUGGGUUUUUAUGCCACUCGUAUACUCACAUGGGGCUUAGUAUUUUUUAACAUUUUUAUUUUCUUUUCAAGAUAGCAUGAUUAACUAAUAAUCUAUUUAAGGAAAGUAAAUAAUUAAAGGGAAAAGGGAAUGCAGAAAGGAUAAAUAUGGAUAACUACCGAUCUUACCUUUCGGCGAUGGUUCAAUGUUUUUAAGUCUUCUUAACAAGACUUCUCACCGUGUUCAUUUUUCAGGUGCGUCAUUUGAUUCAGGUGCGGACCUUGACGUCUGCACCUCUUCAUUUGCCCAGCAGUUCGAAGUGCGGCGUUGGCAGUAUCCUGCUCAGUGUGUUUGUGCUCGUAGAUCCAGGUCCUUUACUUGGUAAAGUCUGAGAGUUAUAAAACUCCUCCGUGUUUUGCUCGAAGUGUACCUACUCAUAGAGACAAGGCAGAGAUCAAGUGCAUGGGUCCUCUUGGUGGAGAACACCAACAGAACCUAAAGUGUAUUUGUUCUUCUCUAACCCUAAGCAUAGUGAGCAAGACAAAGUUGAUGGAUGAAAAGUUCAUGAGUGUAGCACUUAUAACAUUUGUCAGAUCAGAUCGCUCAACCUUAUGGAAAGAUAAUCUAUCUAUGUAUAUGUCUUUUUCUUUAUAUCUCUCAAAGAUUGAAUGUGUAACAUUUUAGCUCAUAUGAUUAGGAGUGUAGGAUUAUGGAGGCAGUACUAAGAACAAGGAUUAAAGGACUAAACAUGUUGAAUCAGUUGGGUUGGUUAAUCUAGAGUUGUAAAUCAUACAUGUUUGACUCUUUUAUUUAUAUGAACGCCAGAACCAAGGAGAAGCUUAUAAAAGUGAUAGUCAAGUACCUUAAGAUGUUACCUUGCUUGAAGAGUGAUGGUACAGUAUCACCUUGUGGAAGCUUUCCUUUCUUAGCGGUUGUGCAUCGUGUUUGUGGCACCCUCCAUGGAUCAUCUCUCUAUGAUGAAUGAGCUAUGUCCUUCUUGUGCAAAUUAUUAAACUUCAUGUGUCACUCUCUUCGUCUCUGAUGUGAGUUUAUUUCAGGACUUCCCAAAUCGAUAUUGAAAAUUUUUUCUGCAGGGGUUAGUCCGUCAAAAAUAUACCAAUGUCUACACAAGCAGUUUUUAGUUCAAUAACCGAACUAGACUCCAUGUCUAAUCAGAUUAAGGAAGGCUGUUUAACCUAAGCACCAUGCUUAAUUUAAAAGCCAAUAGAAGUAUGUGCAGUACUUCCAAACUAACACUUACUAGUAAAUAGACAAAGGUAACAUGACAGCAUUUAUAGAGAUCUACUCAAGUGGAGAUGAAGUAGUGUGAUUAGUAUUUAACAAUUUGAGCAUGUCUUAAAUGUAGGGACAACCAACAUAGCAACAUGGCAAAGGAUGUUUUUAUGUAAAGUACUCCCCCAAGCUUGAAUUCUGCAGAAUUCAAGUUUGGAUGAAUUUAAUUCAGUGUUGC
This 33508-nucleotide long non-coding RNA is filed under the name Sorghum bicolor (sorghum). Its description in RNAcentral is "long non-coding RNA (SBIC_LNC004748)". Lineage: Eukaryota; Viridiplantae; Streptophyta; Magnoliopsida; Poales; Poaceae. The record is from RNAcentral.